Molecule: long non-coding RNA, 1042 nt
Organism: Erigeron canadensis
Lineage: Eukaryota; Viridiplantae; Streptophyta; Magnoliopsida; Asterales; Asteraceae
Exons: 2
Source: RefSeq, a predicted model, not a curated record
ACUAGUUAACUCCAAAAUUAAUUGUCUUACAAAGGAUAAUGGAAACUUUGCAACGAAAGACUAUAUCAUCCGUGGAUGAUGCUUCCUUGCCCGCCGACUGAUACUACUACUUUUAUUCAUAUUCGUUGUUUUCGGUCGUCCCUUUCUUUCACUAUCUCUACCGUUUUCUUUUUUAUGUAUAUAUUUCUUUUCUGAAUAUUAUAAUAUAUAUAUAUAUCUUUUCAGAUCUAGUUGGAAGGGAUUAGGGUGGUAGCCAAUAGUGAAGGGUUUGUGAUGGAGCAGUUUUUUCCGACUAAAACCCGAUGAAAGCCAUACAUAUUUAACGGAUGGAUCUAAACGUUAUCCCCGUCGUUUUCAUUCAGUGAUGAUCGAUUUAAAGGGGUGGCCAGAUCUGGUGGUGGUGCCGACAAUGAUUGGGGCUGUUGGUGGUGGUCGUCGCUGCCUCAAACCUUUUGUUCACUGGGUAGAGAUAUCAAGGAGUCCUCACUGCCUAUUGGUUACAUCUUAACGCAUAAAGAAGUUAUUCAAGACACACUCCAUUUUGCGUCACUCUCUCCCCCUCUCAGUUUCUCUCUGCAAAAAGGGACCAGCAAAACAGAAGAAAAAAAACUCCAUUUCAGCCUCCUUUUCUCUACUUGUUCUUAAUCUCUACAAUCAAAAGAGGUUUUGAACACCUACCACACAAGGCUUGUGGUGUUGCGGUUUUGAAAUAAGAAUGUUCAAUUUUGGAUGUUACUUGGUGUGUGAAAGGCGCUGGAAAUCUACCAAAUCAAAGAACAAAUAGCUCGAGAUCAGAACUUUGGGUGUCUCUCCAAUAGAGAAGUUCUAACUUGAACUUUCAUUCAUCUUCUUCAAGGAUAUCUUCAAGGUUAUGUUUUUCUUGUAUUCAUUCUCUUGAGGCUUUUGUUUGUACAAGUCGAUCCAUGGUUUGAGUUCGGUUUGUUCAAAAUUUUAAUAUCUUAUUGCUUCAUGGUGCGUAUAUGUAUGUUUUUACCGAACUCUAAUAAAUUUUAAUAUGUUAUUGUUAACUUGUUAAUUUAAA